Molecule: ribosomal RNA, 400 nt
Filed under: phytoplankton environmental sample
Lineage: Eukaryota
Description: partial small subunit ribosomal RNA
Rfam family: Eukaryotic small subunit ribosomal RNA
Source: RNAcentral
AGCUCCAGUAGCGUAUAUUAAAGUUGUUGCAGUUAAAAAGCUCGUAGUUGGAUUUCUGGUACGCUGCGCCUGGCCCGCCUCGGUUACGAGUGUGUGUGCCGGUGCGCGGUUGCCAUCCUUCUAGAAAACGCAGCUACCCUUCACUGGGCCGGCUGCUGUGAUCUAGAUCUUUUACUUUGAAAAAAUUAGAGUGUUUAAAGCAGGCUUUCGCUAUGAAUACAUUAGCAUGGAAUAAUAAUUUAGGACUUUGGUCUUAUUUUGUUGGUUAUAGGAUUGAAGUAAUGAUUGAUAGGGAUAGUUGGGGGUGCUAGUAUUGAAUGGCCAGAGGUGAAAUUCUUGGAUUCAUUCAAGACUAACUUAUGCGAAAGCAUUCACCAAGGAUGUCUUCUUUAAUCAAGAA